AUUGAACGCUGGCGGCAGGCCUAACACAUGCAAGUCGAACGGUAGCACAGAGGAGCUUGCUCCUUGGGUGACGAGUGGCGGACGGGUGAGUAAUGUCUGGGGAUCUGCCCGAUGGAGGGGGAUAACUACUGGAAACGGUAGCUAAUACCGCAUAACGUCGCAAGACCAAAGUGGGGGACCUUCGGGCCUCACACCAUCGGAUGAACCCAGAUGGGAUUAGCUAGUAGGUGGGGUAAUGGCUCACCUAGGCGACGAUCCCUAGCUGGUCUGAGAGGAUGACCAGCCACACUGGAACUGAGACACGGUCCAGACUCCUACGGGAGGCAGCAGUGGGGAAUAUUGCACAAUGGGCGCAAGCCUGAUGCAGCCAUGCCGCGUGUAUGAAGAAGGCCUUCGGGUUGUAAAGUACUUUCAGCGGGGAGGAAGGGAUGAUGGUUAAUAGCCAUUGUCAUUGACGUUACCCGCAGAAGAAGCACCGGCUAACUCCGUGCCAGCCGCCGCAGUAA
This 506-nucleotide ribosomal RNA is filed under the name uncultured bacterium. Its description in RNAcentral is "partial 16S ribosomal RNA". It matches the Rfam family "Bacterial small subunit ribosomal RNA", at positions 30 to 523 of the family's 1533-position model. The record is from RNAcentral.